RNAcentral lists this ribosomal RNA (711 nucleotides) under uncultured bacterium. RNAcentral describes it as "bacterial SSU rRNA". It matches the Rfam family "Bacterial small subunit ribosomal RNA", at positions 777 to 1500 of the family's 1533-position model. The record is from RNAcentral.
AUUAGAUACCCUGGUAGUCCGCACGGUAAACGAUGGAUGCCCGCCGUUGGGUAUUUUUAUUCAGUGGCCAAGCGAAAGCGUUAAGCAUCCCACCUGGGGAGUACGCCGGCAACGGUGAAACUCAAAGGAAUUGACGGGGGUCCGCACAAGCGGAGGAACAUGUGGUUUAAUUCGAUGAUACGCGAGGAACCUUACCCGGGCUUGAAUUGCAGAUGACGGAUCCAGAGAUGGUGACUUCCUUCGGGACAUCUGUGAAGGUGCUGCAUGGUUGUCGUCAGCUCGUGCCGUGAGGUGUCGGCUUAAGUGCCAUAACGAGCGCAACCCCUGUCGACAGUUGCUAACAGGUUAAGCUGAGGACUCUGUCGAGACUGCCGGCGCAAGCUGUGAGGAAGGCGGGGAUGACGUCAAAUCAGCACGGCCCUUACGUCCGGGGCGACACACGUGUUACAAUGGCAGGUACAGCGGGAAGCCACCCGGCGACGGGGCGCGGAACCCGAAAACCUGUCUCAGUUCGGAUUGGAGUCUGCAACCCGACUCCAUGAAGCUGGAUUCGCUAGUAAUCGCGCAUCAGCCACGGCGCGGUGAAUACGUUCCCGGGCCUUGUACACACCGCCCGUCAAGCCAUGGAAGCCGGGGGUACCUGAAGUACGUGACCGCAAGGAGCGUCCUAAGGUAAAACCGGUGACUGGGGCUAAGUCGUAACAAGGUACC